GACGAACGCUGGCGGCGUGCUUAACACAUGCAAGUCGAACGGAAAGGCCCUGCUUUUGUGGGGUGCUCGAGUGGCGAACGGGUGAGUAACACGUGAGUAACCUGCCCUUGACUUUGGGAUAACUUCAGGAAACUGGGGCUAAUACCGGAUAGGAGCUCCUGCUGCAUGGUGGGGGUUGGAAAGUUUCGGCGGUUGGGGAUGGACUCGCGGCUUAUCAGCUUGUUGGUGGGGUAGUGGCUUACCAAGGCUUUGACGGGUAGCCGGCCUGGGAGGGUGACCGGCGACCAUGGGCCUGAGAUACGGACCAGACUCCUACGGGAGGCAGCAGUGGGAAAUAUUGCACAAUGGGCGGACGCCUGAUGCAGCAGCGCCGCGUGCGGGAUGACGGCCUUCGGGUUGUAAACCGCUUUCGCCUGUGACGAAGCGUGCGUGACGGUAAUGGGUAAAGAAGCACCGGCUAACUACGUG
RNAcentral lists this ribosomal RNA (468 nucleotides) under uncultured bacterium. RNAcentral's name for it is "partial 16S ribosomal RNA". It matches the Rfam family "Bacterial small subunit ribosomal RNA", at positions 28 to 507 of the family's 1533-position model. The record is from RNAcentral.